RNAcentral lists this microRNA precursor (76 nucleotides) under Myotis brandtii (Brandt's bat). Its description in RNAcentral is "mir-9229 microRNA precursor family". It matches the Rfam family "mir-9229 microRNA precursor family". Lineage: Eukaryota; Metazoa; Chordata; Mammalia; Chiroptera; Vespertilionidae. The record is from Rfam by way of RNAcentral.
GAGACACCCUUCUGGGGCAGGACUCACUUCAGUGGGGCUUUGGUGCUCACUGAGUCUGCUCCUUGAGUGUGUCGCU